Molecule: transfer RNA, 73 nt
Filed under: Salmo salar (Atlantic salmon)
Lineage: Eukaryota; Metazoa; Chordata; Actinopteri; Salmoniformes; Salmonidae
Rfam family: tRNA
About the family: Transfer RNA (tRNA) molecules are approximately 80 nucleotides in length. Their secondary structure includes four short double-helical elements and three loops (D, anti-codon, and T loops).
Source: Rfam by way of RNAcentral
CCCUUUGUGGCUCAGUUGGUAGAGCAUGGCGUUUCCAACGUCAGGGUUGUGGAUUCAAUUCCCACAAUGGAGU